GAUGAACGCUGGCGGCGUGCCUAAUACAUGCAAGUCGAGCGAACAGACGAGGAGCUUGCUCCUCUGACGUUAGCGGCGGACGGGUGAGUAACACGUGGAUAACCUACCUAUAAGACUGGGAUAACUUCGGGAAACCGGAGCUAAUACCGGAUAAUAUAUUGAACCGCAUGGUUCAAUAGUGAAAGACGGUUUUGCUGUCACUUAUAGAUGGAUCCGCGCCGCAUUAGCUAGUUGGUAAGGUAACGGCUUACCAAGGCGACGAUGCGUAGCCGACCUGAGAGGGUGAUCGGCCACACUGGAACUGAGACACGGUCCAGACUCCUACGGGAGGCAGCAGUAGGGAAUCUUCCGCAAUGGGCGAAAGCCUGACGGAGCAACGCCGCGUGGGUGAUGAAGGUCUUCGGAUCGUAAAACUCUGUUAUUAGGGAGAACAAAUGUGUAAGUAACUAUGCACGUCUUGACGGUACCUAAUCAGAAAGCCACGGCUAACUACGUG
RNAcentral lists this ribosomal RNA (496 nucleotides) under uncultured bacterium. RNAcentral's name for it is "partial 16S ribosomal RNA". It matches the Rfam family "Bacterial small subunit ribosomal RNA", at positions 28 to 507 of the family's 1533-position model. The record is from RNAcentral.